GCUAGGGCGCAAGCCUGAUGCAGCCAUGCCGCGUGUAUGAAGAAGGCCUUCGGGUUGUAAAGUACUUUCAGCGGGGAGGAAGGGAGUAAAGUUAAUACCUUUACUCAUUGACGUUACCCGCAGAAGAAGCACCGGCUAACUCCGUGCCAGCAGCCGCGGUAAUA
RNAcentral lists this ribosomal RNA (164 nucleotides) under uncultured Shigella sp. Its description in RNAcentral is "partial 16S ribosomal RNA". It matches the Rfam family "Bacterial small subunit ribosomal RNA", at positions 368 to 525 of the family's 1533-position model. Lineage: Bacteria; Pseudomonadati; Pseudomonadota; Gammaproteobacteria; Enterobacterales; Enterobacteriaceae. The record is from RNAcentral.